UAUAUAUUAAUUUAUUUGGUUCCAAACGCUAAGAUAACAAGAAGCAAAAUUUGUACCAAGUUUGAAUUUAUAGUCGAGAUGGUUUUUCAAUUAUCUAACUAAAUUAUUUUUGAACAGAUAACUGGGAAUCAGAGGCUAAGAGCUUCUCAAAUACUUUUAACUUAUAAACUUUGGUGCAUUAGUGGAGUUUUUACCUAGAUUUUAGCUUUUAGGCUAUAAUUUCAGACAGGCGCAGCCUCUAUUGGUUUUCAAAAAUAUGCAAUGUUGUUGCAAAUGGGACCAUGAUAUAUUAAGGUGUUAUAUGCAAGGCAGAUUUGUCACUAUGUUCCUCAAAGAAAGCAUCAAUCACACAUAUACAUGUUAUUUAGUUGGCUUAACAUAAAGACCUAAACACAAGAAAAUUUCACAAGUGAGAAUGUAUUGUCUUGUAACUGUUGUAAGGUAGCAUCGGUGUAGUCCCAAUAUCUGGACUCUAGAUCAAAUUCAACUAACUUUAUUUUUCUAAUAAAGGCCAAAGUAGAAAGUUUGAACUGUAAGCAUCGAAUGCAUUGAUAUAGCAUUUCCAAAUUGGCCUUUAAUCAGAUACAUGGAAGUCCUACAGACUAUGACCAAUAAUCGAAUCACAUUUGAGGCAAGUAGUUCAAUCGAUCAUCCAGAGCUAGAUUACAUUUGUAUAGCACUAAUCAAACCCACAUUCUGAUCUAGGAUCAAGUAUCACAAGUUCACAACAAUUGGCGGGAAUCACCAUGCAGAAGGACAACAUAGGUCAAAAACCAAAACAAUACUAAUAACUAUUUGAAGCACAUCCAUGACCCAACCUAGGUCACCCUCUUGUCUAACCCAAUUCCACAAAAGAAAACCUAAAGCACAAAUAGAACUACACUUCAAAAAGAGUCAAAUCUAGUCAGCUUAAUUUACUCACAUGUCAGUCACUAUACUAGAUUAAAAAUUCACUCGCACAUAACACAGAGCUAAAAGGGGGAAACGAAGCAAACACAUAGGUUCAAUAUCAUAAAAACAAAACAAAAACUUUGUCUUGUCAGUUCAAAGUGCAAUUGAGCUUGUUAGUCCCUGAUUCCGCCUCCAUCCCCUCAACUACUAACAAUAACUGAAACAAUUACCAUCAACUCAGGUGGCUUUUGGUUCAUGGUUAAUGAGCCCGGUUAACGGGAACCGGAACCUCAAACCCAUGUGUUGGUGUUUAGGUUUGCAAUUUUGUUAUAUGGAAUGGGAACCUCAUUCCCACUUGGUGGGUAAAUCAUUCCUUCAACUCCCCUUGACAUACCAAUUCUCAUACCCUCCAUUCCCAUCCCCUCAUUCUCAUUCCCGAUACCCAUUCCAACCUGUUAUCAAACGUCCCCUUAAUGUAUACUGCAUUUCUUACUACUAUUUAACUAAAAUUAAAACCUAAAUAAGUAAAGACUAACUUCAACUAAAAUCUGAUGACAAAUCUAUUCAGAUCACAGCUUAAUUUACAAUGA
RNAcentral lists this long non-coding RNA (1481 nucleotides) under Daucus carota (carrot). Its description in RNAcentral is "long non-coding RNA (DCAR_LNC004380)". Lineage: Eukaryota; Viridiplantae; Streptophyta; Magnoliopsida; Apiales; Apiaceae. The record is from RNAcentral.